Molecule: ribosomal RNA, 460 nt
Filed under: uncultured bacterium
Lineage: Bacteria
Description: partial 16S ribosomal RNA
Rfam family: Bacterial small subunit ribosomal RNA
Source: RNAcentral
CCUACGGGUGGCAGCAGUGAGGAAUAUUGGUCAAUGGACGAGAGUCUGAACCAGCCAAGUAGCGUGAAGGAUGACUGCCCUAUGGGUUGUAAACUUCUUUUAUAUGGGAAUAAAAUGUUCCACGUGUGGGAUUUUGUAUGUACCAUAUGAAUAAGGAUCGGCUAACUCCGUGCCAGCAGCCGCGGUAAUACGGAGGAUCCGAGCGUUAUCCGGUUUUAUUGGGUUUAAAGGGAGCGUAGGUGGAUUGUUAAGUCAGUGGUGAAAGUUUGCGGCUCAACCGGAAAAUUGCAGUUGAUACUGGCAGUCUUGAGUACAGUAGAGGUGGGCGGAAUUCGUGGUGUAGCGGUGAAAUGCUUAGAUAUCACGAAGAACUCCGAUUGCGAAGGCAGUUCACUGGACUGCAACUGACACUGAGGCUCGAAAGUGUGGGUAUCAAACAGGAUUAGAUACCCGAGUAGUC